Molecule: ribosomal RNA, 464 nt
Filed under: uncultured bacterium
Lineage: Bacteria
Description: partial 16S ribosomal RNA
Rfam family: Bacterial small subunit ribosomal RNA
Source: RNAcentral
CCUACGGGAGGCAGCAGUGGGGAAUUUUGGACAAUGGGGGAAACCCUGAUCCAGCCAUUCCGCGUGAGUGAAGAAGGCCUUCGGGUUGUAAAGCUCUUUCGGCAGGAACGAAACGGCGGACUCUAACAUAGUCUGUCAAUGACGGUACCUGAAGAAGAAGCCCCGGCCAACUACGUGCCAGCAGCCGCGGUAAGACGUAGGGGGCAAGCGUUGUCCGGAAUUACUGGGCGUAAAGAGCGCGUAGGCGGUUUAGUAAGUCAGAUGUAAAAGUCUUGGGCUAAACCUGAGAAUUGCAUCUGAAACUGAUAGACUAGAGCCCAAUAGAGGAGAGUGGAAUUCCCGGUGUAGCGGUGAAAUGCGCAGAUAUCGGGAGGAACACCAGGGGCGAAGGCGGCUCUCGGGAUUGCGACUGACGCUGAGGCGCGAAAGCAAGGGGAGCAAACAGGAUUAGAUCCCCUGGUAGU